Molecule: ribosomal RNA, 249 nt
Filed under: uncultured bacterium
Lineage: Bacteria
Description: partial 16S ribosomal RNA
Rfam family: Bacterial small subunit ribosomal RNA
Source: RNAcentral
UACGGGGGCGCGAGUGUUAUUCAUCCUAACUGGCGUAAAGGGUGCGUAGCGGCUUAUUAUGUUUUUAAGCAAAUUCUCGUUUUAUCUGAGUCUCUUUUUUAUACUAAUAAGCUAGAGUUGAUAGCAGUUAACGGUACAGGCAGUGUAAGGGUGAAAUCUGUUGAAAUUGUACUGACUACCGGUUCUGGCAAAGGCGGUUUAUGGCUAUAGCAACUGACGCUGAGGCACGAAAGCGUGGUAGCGAACUGG